Molecule: ribosomal RNA, 244 nt
Filed under: uncultured bacterium
Lineage: Bacteria
Description: partial 16S ribosomal RNA
Rfam family: Bacterial small subunit ribosomal RNA
Source: RNAcentral
GCAAGUCGAACGGUAACAGAACUUGCUUGCAAGGUGCUGACGAGUGGCGGACGGGUGAGUAAUACUUAGGGAUCUGCCUCUGUGUGGGGGAUAACUAUUGGAAACGAUAGCUAAUACCGCAUAAUGUCUACGGACCAAAGGGGGCUUCGGCUCUCGCGCAGAGAGGAACCUAAGCGAGAUUAGCUAGUUGGUGAGGUAAAGGCUCACCAAGGCGACGAUCUCUAGCUGUUCUGAGAGGAAGAGC